This 66-nucleotide transfer RNA is filed under the name Nitrospira sp. RNAcentral's name for it is "tRNA-Asn". It matches the Rfam family "tRNA", at positions 6 to 65 of the family's 71-position model. Rfam says of the family: Transfer RNA (tRNA) molecules are approximately 80 nucleotides in length. Their secondary structure includes four short double-helical elements and three loops (D, anti-codon, and T loops). Lineage: Bacteria; Pseudomonadati; Nitrospirota; Nitrospiria; Nitrospirales; Nitrospiraceae. The record is from RNAcentral.
CCGGUAGCUCAGUUGGUAGAGCAGCCGGCUGUUAACCGGCUGGUCGUAGGUUCGAAUCCUACUCUG